UGGGGAAUUGUUCGCAAUGGGCGCAAGCCUGACGACGCAACGCCGCGUGGAGGAUGAAGACCUUCGGGUCGUAAACUCCUUUCGAUCGAGACGAAUGGCCUCCGGGUGAACAAUCCGGAGGAGUGACGGUACCGAGAGAAGAAGCCCCGGCUAACUCCGUGCCAGCAGCCGCGGUAAUACGGAGGAUGCAAGCGUUGUUCGGAAUCACUGGGCUUAAAGAGCAUGUAGGUGGGGUGUCAGGCGUCGGGUGAAAUCCCUCGGCUCAACCGAGGAACUGCCUGGCGAACCGGCAUUCUUGAGGCAGGUAGAGGUGGCUGGAACGACGGGUGGAGCGGUGAAAUGCGUAGAUAUCCGUUGGAACGCCGGAGGCGAAAGCGAGCCACUGGGCCUGUCCUGACACUGAGAUGCGAAAGCGUGGGGAGCAAACAGGAUUAGAUACCCCAGUAGUCCCUGAGCGGGCUGGCAAGGCGCAU
Molecule: ribosomal RNA, 473 nt
Filed under: uncultured bacterium
Lineage: Bacteria
Description: bacterial SSU rRNA
Rfam family: Bacterial small subunit ribosomal RNA
Source: RNAcentral